GGAGGCGUGGCAGAGCGGCCGAAUGCACCGGUCUUGAAAACCGGCGACGGGCAACCGUCCGGGGGUUCAAAUCCCCCCGCCUCCG
RNAcentral lists this transfer RNA (85 nucleotides) under Corynebacterium frankenforstense. Its description in RNAcentral is "tRNA-Ser(tga)". It matches the Rfam family "tRNA". Rfam says of the family: Transfer RNA (tRNA) molecules are approximately 80 nucleotides in length. RNAcentral also lists the same sequence under 2 other names. Lineage: Bacteria; Bacillati; Actinomycetota; Actinomycetes; Mycobacteriales; Corynebacteriaceae. The record is from RNAcentral.